GACGAACGCUGGCGGCGCGCUUAACACAUGCAAGUCGAACGGAAAGGCCUGCUUUCCCUUGUGGAUUGCGGGUACUCGAGUGGCGAAUGGGUGAGUAACACGUGAGUGAUCUGCCCCCAACUUGGGUAUAAGCCUGGGAAACUGGGUCUAAUUCCCGAUAGGACUGCAGGGUGGUGCCUGUGGUGGAAAACGAUUUUCUAGUGGUUGGGGAUGAGCUCGCGGCCUAUCAGCUUGUUGGUGGGGUAAUGGCCUACCAAGGCGGCGACGGGUAGCCGGCCUGGGAGGGUGGACGGCCACAUUGGGACUGAGAUACGGCCCAGACUCCUACGGGAGGCAGCAGUGGGGAAUAUUGCACAAUGGGCGGAAGCCUGAUGCAGCGACGCCGCGUGGGGGAUGACGGCCUUCGGGUUGUAAACUCCUUUCGACCGCGAGGAAGCCACCUGGUUGGAAGGGUGGUGACGGUAGUGGUAGAAGAAGCACCGGCUAACUACGUG
This 494-nucleotide ribosomal RNA is filed under the name uncultured bacterium. Its description in RNAcentral is "partial 16S ribosomal RNA". It matches the Rfam family "Bacterial small subunit ribosomal RNA", at positions 28 to 507 of the family's 1533-position model. The record is from RNAcentral.